UGCCUACGGGGGGCAGCAGUGGGGAAUUUUGCGCAAUGGGGGAAACCCUGACGCAGCAACGCCGCGUGCGGGAAGAAGGCCCUCGGGUCGUAAACCGAUUGCAGCAGGGAAGACCACGACGGUACCUGCAGAAGAAGCUCCGGCUAACUACGUGCCAGCAGCCGCGGUAAUACGUAGGGGGCGAGCGUUAUCCGGAUUCAUUGGGCGUAAAGCGCGCGUAGGCGGUGGCGUAAGCGGAACCUCUAACCACGGGGCUCAACCUCGGGCCGGGUUCCGGACUGG
This 282-nucleotide ribosomal RNA is filed under the name uncultured bacterium. Its description in RNAcentral is "partial 16S ribosomal RNA". It matches the Rfam family "Bacterial small subunit ribosomal RNA", at positions 335 to 636 of the family's 1533-position model. The record is from RNAcentral.